UCUAUAUACACAUAUUCAUGCAAAUUCUCACACACACACACACCACAUAUAUAUACACACAUGAAUGUAUGGCUGUGUACAUGUAUGUAUAUCAUUAUGUAAAAUAUAAAAUAUAUUUUACAUCAUGCAAACAUUUUCUGAUCUAGAAAUUCAUUAUGUUGGGUGAAAUAGACAGAUAUGUUUAGUAUAUCAAAGGUUGAUGGUUUUUCCCAGACUAGGGCGAAUCUCACUAUAGACUGUCAACUGCUGAUAUGAUAAUUGUACAUGUAUAUGUGUGUGUUUCUAUACAUAUAUAUAAAAUUUUAUUUAUGUAUAUAGUUAUAUGCAAAUAAAUUAUCCCACGGCUGAGUGGGGUCUGAUGUUGAAAUAUCUGAUACCUAGAAACUUCACUGACGAUACAUCCCACAGCAUCCACAAGAUGUAUCUUAAAACUACAUGUGUGUAUGUAUAUAUAUAUAUAUAUAUAUAUAUAAUAUAUAUAUAUAUAUAUAUAGUGUGUGUGUGUGUGUGUGUGUGUAUCUGCACAGUUUAUAUAUAUAUAUAUAUAUAUAUAUAUAUGUGUGUGUGUGUGUGUGUGUUUAUGCAUGGAUGUUUGUAUGUAAAAGUAUGAAGAGAAAUCGUUUAUACAAAAUGCUAAACAAUGAAAAAGGAAGUCGUGACAAACACCAUACAACACCAUUAGUAUAUUUUAUAUGUUUAUAUGAAAACAACAACAAAACCUAGUUAACUAACAAACCAAUAUUUACAACAGCAAGCAAGAAAGAAGGAAAAAAAAACAAGCUGAAGAAAUAAAUAUAGAAAGACGGAGAAAAAAGCACACGAAACAACUGAUCCUAAUUAAGGGUUAACGAGGGUAAACAAAACACAAACUGUAUAUUAUAAUUAUAUUAUAAACAUUUUUGCGUAUUUUUUUCAAAAAUGUUAUCAUCAUCAUCAUUAUUAUCAUUAUCACUAUUACUAUUAUCAUUAUUAUAAUUGUCCUUGAUAUUAAUAUAAUCGUCAUUUAUCAUUAUCAUCAUUAUUCUUAUUACUAUUACUGUUAUUACUAUUAUUAUCAUUAUCAUUAUUAUUAUUUCUUUUGGAAUCUAAUACAGAAAUAAACUUGUUAUAGAAUAUACAAAUGCUAACAGAAAAAUACUUCCUUUGGUCAGAUGAUAAGCUAUAUAUAUAUAUGAAACAUACACUAAUGAAACUUGUUUCAAAUCCAGCCUGCAGCAGGCAUUCCUUCCUACUAGUAACUUCCAUUUCUCACUCCUUUGAGUGUUUUUUUUUUUUUUUGACAUCUCCUCCAUCAUUCCCAUCAACACCAUACCCCUUCCUUUAUCUUCCAUUUAGUUGUUCCCUUAUUUUACCCAUUGAAAGCACCCAGUACCUGUUAUUUCUAUUGUUACUUAUGCUACAAUUGUUAUCAUCAUUAUUAUUAUUAUUAUUAUUAUUGCUGCCGAUGUUUGAGCUGAUGGCUUGUGCAGGCUCCAGUACCGUGAUGGUAAGCAAGCAAACCAAACAAAGCGAAGCCAAAAAAAGAAAAACCAAUUGUUUUACCAGAUUCACUCCUUAAAACUCCAAACUCCAUUAAUGAAUAUCCCUGGCGGUGUGGGGGGUGGGGUGGAAACGUGAACAUCAAGAAAUACCUAAAA
Molecule: long non-coding RNA, 1637 nt
Organism: Octopus sinensis (East Asian common octopus)
Lineage: Eukaryota; Metazoa; Mollusca; Cephalopoda; Octopoda; Octopodidae
Exons: 2
Source: RefSeq, a predicted model, not a curated record